Oncorhynchus kisutch (coho salmon) is the source of this 3980-nucleotide RNA transcript. It is a transcript of the gene named fibroblast growth factor receptor-like 1, with no coding region annotated. The transcript is spliced from 8 exons. NCBI's taxonomy places the organism in Eukaryota, Metazoa, Chordata, Actinopteri, Salmoniformes, Salmonidae. The record is from RefSeq and is a predicted model, not a curated record.
UUGAAAAUGGCAGUGAAAUGCUUUACAAGCUUUACGGUUUCGAGGGAAGAUGCCACAUUGUGCAAAGUAAUUCAAUGCCUCAACCCGAUGGGGGCGCCGGUGAGGAGCAGCGUUCGAGCCAGUCCAGGAUUGGCCAAUGGUAUGCCACAGUUCCUGGAAACUCGUGUAUGUUCCUCAUGGCGAAAGGGAUUCGGAAGGGCACACCAGGAAUGAAGAGAGCAGUGCGCCUCAACGGAACUUUAGCUUUUUGAGAGGAGUGGCGUUUAUUACCCUUUUUUUUUUUUUUUAAAUCAGGUACUACUUGGGCAGGUAGUCAUUGAUAUAUAUGAAUUAAAUAGUUUCAAACGUGGAGGAUAACCAUACCGAUAUAACUGAUUGUACAAUAGAUGCGAUUAUUACUUCUGACUCGACAGUGAGCGAAUUGUUUAGAUCAGUUCAGUGGAAAGCAUCUGGCUGGCAGAGGAGACCCAACAUAACCGAAUUAAACCGCAGUUGCUGAAAAUGUUCUCUAAGGAUGGAUGCUUGGCUGUGUGUACAGUGAUAUUUAUUCUGUCAUCAAGUGAGGCUAGAGGUCCACCGUGGGUGAGUCGUCAGGUGGAGGAGCGUCAAACGGCCAGGCUGGGGCGGACGGUGCGGCUUGCGUGCCCCGUAGAGGGUGACCCUCCUCCCCUGGUGCUGUGGGUGAAGGAUGGGCGUAACGUCCACCCGGGCUGGAGCCGCUACCGGGUGCUAAAAAAGAGCCUGAAGAUCAAAGAGGUGGAGCUGGGGGACGCAGGGGUUUACAUGUGCCGCGUCACCAACGGCUUCGGAAGUAUCACUCUCAACUACACCCUCAUCGUCAUGGAUGACACAGCAGCGAGCCAGACAGACGCUCCACCUGCCGUAGUGGAACCCAAUGCUGAGCUCACCCAGCUUGACCCUACAGGAGAGCCCUGUGUGAAGCCUCGGUUUAGUCAGCCCACUAAGAUGCGCAGGCGGGUGCUGUACAAGCCGGUGGGCAGCUCAGUGAGGUUCAAGUGCCAGGCCAGCGGCACCCCUCCCCCCGUCAUCACCUGGUGGAAGGACCAGACCCCGCUGCCACCCCCGCGCCAGGGCAAGCGCCCCCAGUGGACCCUCACCCUAAAGAACCUGCAGCCCCAGGACAGUGCCAAGUACACCUGCCAUGUCUCCAACCCAGCCGGGCACAUCAACGCCACCUACAAGCUGGAUGUCAUCGAGCGCUCUCAUUGCAAGCCUGUUCUGACCGGCACCCACCCGGUCAACACCACUGUGGAGUAUGGUGGCACCGCCUCCUUCCAGUGUAAGGUCCACAGUGACGUGAAGCCUGUGGUCCAGUGGCUGAAGAGGGUUGACCCAGGCACAGAGGACCGCUAUAACUCCACCCUGGAAGUCGGAGGGCAGCAUUUUGUGGUUCUGCCCACGGGGGACGUGUGGUCCCGGCCUGACGGCUCCUACCUCAACAAGCUGGCUAUCAUCAAGGCCCGUGAUGGGGAUGCUGGGAUGUACAUUUGCCUGGGAGCUAACACAAUGGGUUACAGCUUCCGCAGUGCUUACCUCACUGUGCUGCCAGACCCUCAGGUGGAGAACACAGUGACUCCUCCACACCUGAGCUCCGGCCUGCCCUGGCCUCUGAUUAUCGGCAUCCCUGCAGCAGCCCUCCUCAUCGUAGGCACCAUUGUACUCUGGCUGUGCCACAGCCGCCGACGCCACAACACCUUGCCACCCCGCGCCAUGACCAUGGUCCACCGAGACCAACACAUCUCGGACAAAGAGCCCAGCACCAACACCCCCUGUAAUGCCCUGAAUAGCCCUGACUACCCCAGCCAUAGACUGGUGGGCCUGGGAGCCCCAGUCCUUAGUGGGCCCCCUAAGAUUUACUCCAACGUUUACACAGACAUGCACUCGCACACACACUCCCACGCCCAUAUGGAUGGUAAGGUCCAUCAACACCAGCAUUUCCACUACCAGUGCUAACCAGCCCCCUCUCAUCCCACCCCACACCUACAGCCUUGUCUCCUAGCCACUGCUGCUAUUCUCACCCAACAAUGGACUAUGAGCAAGGUAGAUGGAAACUAGGAAAGGCUUGUAGUUCAUAUGAACUACACCUCCUAUGAUAAACAGUGCUAAAACCCUUACCUGGGAUACACAUAUUACUAAGCUGCCUGCUUUGUAGGAAUACCGCUUCAUUGAGAAGUCUCAGGGCAAGAAAUACCCUCUCACAUGUGUGCCAGAGUCAUUUCUUUAUUAUGUGUUUUUAUACUAGACAACCAAGAGCAAACUCCAAUUGUAUUUUAAAAGAUGAAAAUUACUUACAAACAAUCUUUGGAUGCAUGUAGCCCUGGAUAAAUAAUUAAUUAGUUAAUGAGAUAUUACCAGGUUUAGGUUCAAUUUAGGUCAACUGAAAUUUGAUUAAAGGUAUUCCAAUUUACACAAAUGAACAUUUCUAAUAGAAUUAACCCCAACUCUGGAAUGUACUAUUUUUUUUUUUUUUAACACUCAUCUAAACAUGUACCGGUAUCCAAACUCCCAAAGCAUUAAGUAAUAUAAGGAACUUUUAAGUUUGUGUAAAUUGGAAAAUGUAACUGUGACAAUUUAAAAUCUAGAAUAAAUGUUUACAAAUGUGAAAGCUUUUCUAUUCUCAUUAUAGCAACACAAACUAUGCUGUUCUCGGUUCUGAUUAGGUGGUAUUAUUCUCAUUAUAGCAACACAAACUAUGCUGUUCUCGGUUCUGAUUAGGUGGUAUUAUUCUCAUUAUAGCAACACAAACUAUGCUGUUCUCGGUUCUGAUUAGGUGGUAUUAUUCUCAUUAUAGCAACACAAACUAUGCUGUUCUCGGUUCUGAUUAGGUGGUAUUAUUUUUGUUUCAUGUAGGGAAGUACAAUUCAUCAGGGAAAUUAGAUGGAUUUUGUGAUGAGGGCUUUUUUAUUUUUGUAUUCAGAUAUUGUAUAUGUAUCCAACUAAAAAAAGCAGUAUUAUUAGUAGUAUUAUUCACCCUAUAUGUGUAAGAUGCCAAAUUAUUUUACAGCGCUAUAGAUGUGUAUUUUACUUACAUUUCUUGUGAGGUAUAUUUUUAUAUAAGGUACAUGAGGAUGAGUAUUGUACCUGUGUCUUGGUUUUUAAAACUCACCAAAAAGCUAUUUAGUUGUUUUGACUUUACUCUUCUAUUUUGGUAACAACCAUUAUUCCAGAUUGGAUUGAGCUAUGGGUCAUUUAGUGAAAAAUGUUGAUUGUAUUGUUAAGUUGAAUUUACAACUUUAUGCUGACCUAGUUGUCUCAUAUUUGAUUAAGAAUCUGACCAUAUGAUGUAUACUGUAUAUAAGAUAAUGAUUACAAAGAAAAUGUAACAGUCAUUCCCCCUCAUGAUGUCAUUAGGUCUAGUCCCCAAGUGGUUUAGAAUUGCCAUGUUAAUCUUAUGCAAUUCCUCUGUGAAACAUUGCAUGCUGCAACUCACCUCUGGUGCUCAUGUACAUUUAGUACUGUACAAUAAUAUUUUUGUAAUAAAAUGUUUGUUUUUUUUAUAACUGUUCUGUUUCGUGUAAUGUUUGCGAAAUGCAUUUCAAUUAAAACAUUUUAUUUUUUUACUUGUGAAAUGUUUCUCUCUCUCAGAAAACAAAAUGCUCACAAAACAUUAUUUUAAGAGGAUUAUCAGAGUAACAAAUUGUAUCAAAAUAUCUAUUUACCAUGAAAACGUCAGGGAGUUCAGUUGUUUCUUACCAUGUAAAAUACUCAAGUUGUGUUGAGAAUGUGUUUUAUGCCAUCUAGUGGCAUUUUAGCGCCAUAGCUUCAUUCUUAGAAAAGACGUGUUGUUGAACAACAAUUUAUGUGUAAUGAUUUCUCAACAUUUUGUGUCAGUUCCUGCAAUGAAUUUGUUAAAACGCUGAAAACGUCCGUUCUUCUGUAUCUCAGGUCCAAAAUUGUCUGAGUUGGUCAAUCUGGACUGCAUAUCUGACUGGCUGACAUCUAAUAAAUAACUUGUUUGA